Molecule: ribosomal RNA, 356 nt
Filed under: uncultured bacterium
Lineage: Bacteria
Description: bacterial SSU rRNA
Rfam family: Bacterial small subunit ribosomal RNA
Source: RNAcentral
ACAGAUCGUUCAGAGUUUGAUCCUGGCUCAGGGCGAAAGCUGGCGGCGUGCUUAACACAUGCAAGUCGAACGAUGAAAUUCUGACGGAGGCUUCGGCCAACUGAAGGAUGGAUUAGUGGCGGACGGGUGAGUAACGCGUGAGUAACCUGCCUUUCAGAGUGGAAUAACAUUUGGAAACGAAUGGUAAUACCGCAUAACGUCAUGGGACCGCAUGAUCCUAUGACCAAAGGAGCAAUCCGCUGAAAGAUGGACUCGCGUCCGAUUAGCUAGUUGGAGAGGUAACGGCUCCCCAAGGCGACGAUCGGUAGCCGGACUGAGAGGUUGAACGGCCACAUUGGGACUGAGACACGGCCCAG